This 161-nucleotide ribosomal RNA is filed under the name Sordariomycetes sp. RNAcentral describes it as "partial large subunit ribosomal RNA". It matches the Rfam family "Eukaryotic large subunit ribosomal RNA", at positions 99 to 261 of the family's 3401-position model. The record is from RNAcentral. Lineage: Eukaryota; Fungi; Ascomycota; Sordariomycetes.
CGGCAACAGCCCAGAUUUGAAAUCCGGCCCCCCCGGGCCCGAGUUGUAAUCUGUAGAGGACGCUUCGGGCGAGGCGCCUUCCGAGUCCCCUGGAACGGGGCGCCGCAGAGGGUGAGAGCCCCGUACGGUCGGACGCCGGACCCGCGUGAAGCCCCUUCGAC